AGUCACUGACAUUAGAUACCCGCGUAGUCCCAGCCGUAAACUAUGCGCGUUAGGUGUACUGGUGACCACGAGUCACCGGGGUGCCGAAGGGAAACCGUGAAACGUGCCGCCUGGGAAGUACGGUCGCAAGGCUGAAACUUAAAGGAAUUGGCGGGGGAGCACCGCAACGGGAGGAGCGUGCGGUUUAAUUGGAUUCAACACCGUAAACUCACCAGGGAAGACUGUUACAUGAAGGCCGAGAUGAAGACUCUGCUAGAUUUUCAG
This 264-nucleotide ribosomal RNA is filed under the name uncultured archaeon. RNAcentral describes it as "partial 16S ribosomal RNA". It matches the Rfam family "Archaeal small subunit ribosomal RNA", at positions 716 to 982 of the family's 1478-position model. The record is from RNAcentral.